GUAUAGGUGUGUAUAGUGUAUAGGUGUGGACAGAGUAUAGGUGUGGACAGAGUAUAGGUGUGUAUAGUGUAUAGGUGUGGACAGAGUAUAGGUGUGUAUAGUGUAUAGGUGUGUAUAGUGUAUAGGUGUGGACAGAGUAUAGGUGUGGACAGAGUAUAGGUGUGUAUAGUGUAUAGGUGUGGACAGAGUAUAGGUGUGUAUAGUGUAUAGGUGUGUAUAGUGUAUAGGUGUGGACAGAGUAUAGGUGUGGACAGAGUAUAGGUGUGUAUAGUGUAUAGGUGUGGACCGAGUAUAGGUGUGUAUAGUGUAUAGGUGUGUAUAGUGUAUAGGUGUGGACAGAGUAUAGGUGUGUAUAGUGUAUAGGUGUGGACAGAGUAUAGGUGUGGACAGAGUAUAGGUGUGUAUAGUGUAUAGGUGUGGACAGAGUAUAGGUGUGGACAGAGUAUAGGUGUGUAUAGUGUAUAGGUGUGGACAGAGUAUAGGUGUGGACAGAGUAUAGGUGUGUAUAGUGUAUAGGUGUGGACAGAGUAUAGGUGUGUAUAGUGUAUAGGUGUGUAUAGUGUAUAGGUGUGGACAGAGUAUAGGUGUGGACAGAGUAUAGGUGUGUAUAGUGUAUAGGUGUGGACCGAGUAUAGGUGUGUAUAGUGUAUAGGUGUGUAUAGUGUAUAGGUGUGGACAGAGUAUAGGUGUGUAUAGUGUAUAGGUGUGGACAGAGUAUAGGUGUGUAUAGUGUAUAGGUGUGUAUAGUGUAUAGGUGUGGACAGAGUAUAGGUGUGGACAGAGUAUAGGUGUGUAUAGUGUAUAGGUGUGGACAGAGUAUAGGUGUGUAUAGUGUAUAGGUGUGUAUAGUGUAUAGGUGUGGACAGAGUAUAGGUGUGGACAGAGUAUAGGUGUGUAUAGUGUAUAGGUGUGGACCGAGUAUAGGUGUGUAUAGUGUAUAGGUGUGUAUAGUGUAUAGGUGUGGACAGAGUAUAGGUGUGUAUAGUGUAUAGGUGUGGACAGAGUAUAGGUGUGUAUAGUGUAUAGGUGUGUAUAGUGUAUAGGUGUGGACAGAGUAUAGGUGUGUAUAGUGUAUAGGUGUGUAUAGUGUAUAGGUGUGGACAGAGUAUAGGUGUGGACAGAGUAUAGGUGUGUAUAGUGUAUAGGUGUGGACCGAGUAUAGGUGUGUAUAGUGUAUAGGUGUGUAUAGUGUAUAGGUGUGUAUAGUGUAUAGGUGUGGACAGAGUAUAGGUGUGUAUAGUGUAUAGGUGUGUAUAGUGUAUAGGUGUGGACAGAGUAUAGGUGUGUAUAGUGUAUAGGUGUGUAUAGUGUAUAGGUGUGGACAGAGUAUAGGUGUGUAUAGUGUAUAGGUGUGGACAGAGUAUAGGUGUGUAUAGUGUAUAGGUGUGGACAGAGUAUAGGUGUGUAUAGUGUAUAGGUGUGGACAGAG
Molecule: long non-coding RNA, 1429 nt
Organism: Oncorhynchus keta (chum salmon)
Lineage: Eukaryota; Metazoa; Chordata; Actinopteri; Salmoniformes; Salmonidae
Exons: 5
Source: RefSeq, a predicted model, not a curated record